This 253-nucleotide ribosomal RNA is filed under the name uncultured bacterium. RNAcentral's name for it is "partial 16S ribosomal RNA". It matches the Rfam family "Bacterial small subunit ribosomal RNA", at positions 524 to 776 of the family's 1533-position model. The record is from RNAcentral.
UACAGGGGGGGCAAGCGUUGUUCGGAAUUACUGGGCGUAAAGGGUUCGUAGGUGGCCAACUAAGUCAGACGUGAAAUCCCUCAGCUCAACUGGGGAACUGCGUCUGAAACUGGGUGGCUUGAGUGCAGGAGAGGAACGCGGAAUUCCCGGUGUAGCGGUGAAAUGCGCAGAUAUCGGGAGGAACACCUAUGGCGAAGGCGGCUCACUGGCCCGGUACUGACGCUGAGGUGCGAAAGCGUGGGGAGCAAACAGG